RNAcentral lists this ribosomal RNA (2141 nucleotides) under Desulfobacteraceae bacterium. Its description in RNAcentral is "partial 23S ribosomal RNA". It matches the Rfam family "Bacterial large subunit ribosomal RNA", at positions 1 to 2040 of the family's 2925-position model. The record is from RNAcentral. Lineage: Bacteria; Pseudomonadati; Thermodesulfobacteriota; Desulfobacteria; Desulfobacterales; Desulfobacteraceae.
UUUUGUGGCCAAGCUGAUAAGGGCAAUCGGUGGAUGCCUUGGUGCCAAGAGGCGAUGAAAGACGUGGUAAGCUGCGAUAAGCUUCGGGGAGCCGCUAAACAGGCUUUGAUCCGGAGAUCUCUGAAUGGGGAAACCCGUCCCGGGUAAUGUCGGGACAUCUGCAACUGAAUCCAUAGGUUGCAGAGGCCAACGGAGGGAACUGAAACAUCUUAGUACCUCCAGGAAAAGAAAACAACCGUGAUUUCCUGAGUAGCGGCGAGCGAAACGGAAAGAGCCCAAACCGAAUACAUGCCAAGCCCGGAAGCGUUGUGUAUUCGGGGUCGCGGGAUUCGACCGGACGGAGUUCCGGCUUCGUCGGGAAGUUACCAAACCGAUUCAUAGUCGAAGGGUCUGGAACGGCCUGCCAGAGAGGGUGAUAGCCCCGUAGGCGAAAUGGAUCGGACUUCCUGGGUCGGACACCCAAGUACCGCGGGACACGUGAAACCCUGCGGGAAUUCGGGAGGACCAUCUCCCAAGGCUAAAUACUCCUUGGUGACCGAUAGUGAACCAGUACCGUGAGGGAAAGGUGAAAAGCACCCCGGUGAGGGGAGUGAAAUAGUACCUGAAACCGGUUGCCUACAAGCGGUGGGAGGGCUAUGGAACCCGCUUCGGCGGUUUCCAGCCUGACCGCGUGCCUUUUGCAUAAUGAGUCAGCGAGUUACUCUACGCAGCGAGGUUAAGCCGUUAGGCGGAGCCGCAGCGAAAGCGAGUCUGAACAGGGCGUUCAGUUGCGUGGAGUAGACCCGAAACCAGGUGAUCUAUCCAUGGCCAGGGUGAAGCGCAAGUAAAAUUGCGUGGAGGCCCGAACCGGUGUAGGUUGAAAACUGCUCGGAUGAGCUGUGGAUAGGGGUGAAAGGCCAAACAAACCUGGAAAUUGCUGGUUCUCCCCGAAAUAUAUUUAGGUAUAGCCUUGCAGGUAAUUGGCGGGGGUAGAGCACUGGAUGGGCUAGGGGUCUUACCGGAUUACCAAACCCAACCAAACUCCGAAUACCGUCAAUCCCCACUGCAGGAGUCAGACUCCGGGAGCUAAGUUCCGGGGUCGAGAGGGAAACAGCCCAGACCGCCAGCUAAGGUCCCCAAAUAUGCGCUCAGUGGGAAAGGAUGUGGAAACGCUCAGACAACCAGGAGGUUGGCUUAGAAGCAGCCACCCUUUAAAGAAAGCGUAAUAGCUCACUGGUCGAGUGGGUCCGCGCCGAAAAUUCAACGGGGCUAAGCGCAUUACCGAAGCUGCGGAUCCGUCGCAAGACGGAUGGUAGGGGAGCGUUCUGCACGGGUUGAAGGUCGACCGGAAGGACGGCUGGACUGUGCAGAAGAGACCAUGCUGACAUGAGUAGCGAUAAAGCGGGUGAAAAACCCGCUCGCCGAAAGCCUAAGGUUUCCUGGGUAAAGCUAAUCUGCUCAGGGUUAGUCGAUCCCUAAGCCGAGGCCGAAAGGCGUAGGUGAUGGAAAACAGGUUAAUAUUCCUGUACCACCGGGCGGUCGAUGCCCUUCGGGGCGACAGCGAUGGGGGGACGCAGGAGGGUAGGUCAUCCACCGGUUGGUCGUGGUGGUUCAAGCCGGUAGGCUGGAAGGAUAGGCAAAUCCGUCCUUCCUUAAGGCCGAGAGGUGAUGAGGAUCCGCUUCGGCGGAACAAACUGAUCGAUCCCAUACUGCCAAGAAAAGCCUCUAGCGAGAACGCCAGGUGAUCGUACCGCAAACCGACACAGGUAGGCGAGGAGAGUAUCCACAGGCGCUUGGGAGAACACUGGUUAAGGAACUCGGCAAAUUCACACCGUAACUUCGGGAGAAGGUGUGCCUCUGACAGGUGAAGUCCCUCGCGGACGGAGCCGAGAGGGGCCGCAGAGAAACGGCGGUAGCGACUGUUUACUAAAAACACAGGACUCUGCUAAGUCGCAAGACGACGUAUAGGGUCUGACGCCUGCCCGGUGCCGGAAGGUUAAGGGGAUUGGUUAGCCGCAAGGCGAAGCUGAGAACCGAAGCCCCGGUAAACGGCGGCCGUAACUAUAACGGUCCUAAGGUAGCGAAAUUCCUUGUCGGGUAAGUUCCGACCUGCACGAAUGGCGUAACGACUUCCGCACUGUCUCAACCAGUGACCCGGUGAA